RNAcentral lists this ribosomal RNA (956 nucleotides) under uncultured Alteromonas sp. Its description in RNAcentral is "bacterial SSU rRNA". It matches the Rfam family "Bacterial small subunit ribosomal RNA", at positions 61 to 1014 of the family's 1533-position model. Lineage: Bacteria; Pseudomonadati; Pseudomonadota; Gammaproteobacteria; Alteromonadales; Alteromonadaceae. The record is from RNAcentral.
GUCGAACGGUAACAGGAUGUGCUUGCACAUCGCUGACGAGUGGCGGACGGGUGAGUAAUGCUUGGGAACUUGCCUUUGCGAGGGGGAUAACAGUUGGAAACGACUGCUAAUACCGCAUAAUGUUUUCGAACCAAACGGGGCUUCGGCUCCGGCGCAAAGAGAGGCCCAAGUGAGAUUAGCUAGUUGGUAAGGUAACGGCUUACCAAGGCGACGAUCUCUAGCUGUUCUGAGAGGAAGAUCAGCCACACUGGGACUGAGACACGGCCCAGACUCCUACGGGAGGCAGCAGUGGGGAAUAUUGCACAAUGGGGGAAACCCUGAUGCAGCCAUGCCGCGUGUGUGAAGAAGGCCUUCGGGUUGUAAAGCACUUUCAGUUGUGAGGAAAAGUUAGUAGUUAAUACCUGCUAGCCGUGACGUUAACAACAGAAGAAGCACCGGCUAACUCCGUGCCAGCAGCCGCGGUAAUACGGAGGGUGCGAGCGUUAAUCGGAAUUACUGGGCGUAAAGCGCACGCAGGCGGUUUGUUAAGCUAGAUGUGAAAGCCCCGGGCUCAACCUGGGAUGGUCAUUUAGAACUGGCAGACUAGAGUCUUGGAGAGGGGAGUGGAAUUCCAGGUGUAGCGGUGAGAUGCGUAGAUAUCUGGAGGAACAUCAGUGGCGAAGGCGACUCCCUGGCCAAAGACUGACGCUCAUGUGCGAAAGUGUGGGUAGCGAACAGGAUUAGAUACCCUGGUAGUCCACACCGUAAACGCUGUCUACUAGCUGUGUGUGCCUUUAAGGCGUGCGUAGCGAAGCUAACGCGCUAAGUAGACCGCCUGGGGAGUACGGCCGCAAGGUUAAAACUCAAAUGAAUUGACGGGGGCCCGCACAAGCGGUGGAGCAUGUGGUUUAAUUCGAUGCAACGCGAAGAACCUUACUUACACUUGACAUGCAGAGAACUUUCUAGAGAUAGAUUGG